CCAACACAUCCACAGAUGAAAAGAAGUUAAUCUUGUUAAUUUGCUGUCUUCUUGUUUAACCAGAAGGGUGACUCAGGGAUCACAAGGAUAUAUGAGCUUGUUUUGCAGAAGAAAAAGAA
This is a non-coding RNA of Ceratotherium simum simum (southern white rhinoceros), 119 nucleotides long. The record is from RefSeq and is a predicted model, not a curated record. Lineage: Eukaryota; Metazoa; Chordata; Mammalia; Perissodactyla; Rhinocerotidae.